AGACUAGUAAGUUAAAAAAACUGUGGGGUUCAUGUCUCCUUAUUACACUUAUGUGUCUGGUUGA
This 64-nucleotide transfer RNA is filed under the name Taenia hydatigena. RNAcentral describes it as "tRNA-Met". Lineage: Eukaryota; Metazoa; Platyhelminthes; Cestoda; Cyclophyllidea; Taeniidae. The record is from RNAcentral.